This 1337-nucleotide long non-coding RNA is filed under the name Oncorhynchus mykiss (rainbow trout). RNAcentral describes it as "lncRNA (ENSOMYG00000076605.1)". Lineage: Eukaryota; Metazoa; Chordata; Actinopteri; Salmoniformes; Salmonidae. The record is from RNAcentral.
GAAAUACGGUGGUAUUACGUAGUCAUACAGUUAAAUUGUAGUGGUGAAGAGUUAAACUGGUCCUGGGUCAGUGGUGAAGGGUUAAACUGGUCCUGGGUCAGUGGUGAAGGGUUAAACUGGUCCUGGGUCGGUGGUGAAGGGUUACACCUUACUGCUACGGGAGGUGGGCACAAUCACAUGUUGAACACAGCUCUCAGGUCUCCUCUCACUCACUUCUAGUGUUCUCCAGGCAACAUCACAGCUGUAGAAACCCUCCAAGAAGAAUGACUAUAAGUGUGUCCCCUUUAAACCAGACAGAAUAAACCUGAGUAGAGCUUUGCUGCAUUUCUUAUUGCCAACAGUGGUGACUGUCUGCCUGAUAGCCAACAGUAGCUGAUUACUGCAACCAGGUGGUGAUGCUGAGAACGACACACAGGGUGCUGCCCAGAGAGACACAGAUGCCCCACUCAGCUGGAUAAUUUACACAACUCUUGUUCUAAUGAUGUGAUAUUGAUGUACUUAAACAAGGCAUAACUCAUAAAGAUCCUACUAAAUUACUAAAGGGGCUAAGUCAUAAGCCCUAAAAGUUCCAGAAUGGGGUGAAAAUGGCAGCCAUCUUGGUCAGGGAGAAAUCCAAAACAAAUCCACUAAUUGGAAUUAAUGGCAAUAGAGGCAUAGGUGAUGCAUUUUCUUAUUUUACUUAAUAAAAGUAGGGUAUCAGAAAUGUUUUAAUAUAAUUAUAGUCAACCUAAAAUAUUGUCAUAUAAUUAUAAAUACAGUUUAUACAGGGUUUAUACCUGUAGCCACCCCACAACAUGAUGCCGCCACCCCCACAACAUGAUGCUGCCACCCCCACAACAUGAUGCCGCCACCCCACAACAUGAUGCUGCCACCCCCACAACAUGAUGCUGCCACCCCCACAACAUGAUGCCGCCACCCCCACAACAUGAUGCUACCACCCCCACAACAUGAUGCUGCCACCCCCACAACAUGAUGCCGCCACCCCACAACAUGAUGCUGCCACCCCCACAACAUGAUGCUGCCACCCCCACAACAUGAUGCCGCCACCCCCACAACAUGAUGCUACCACCCCCACAACAUGAUGCUGCCACCCCCACAACAUGAUGCUACCACCCCCACAACAUGAUGCUGCCACCCCCACAACAUGAUGCUGCCACCCCCACAACAUGAUGCUGCCACCCCCACAACAUGAUGCUGCCACCCCCACAACAUGAUGCUGCCACCCCCGUGCUCAACUGUAUGCAGGUAAACGUGACAAAAUUAACUGAGCAUGUAGUUAUUAACUGAUCAAGAUACAAUAGUGUAGUAAGACAACAUAUGCGAUGUGGUAACAUAGA